This 1141-nucleotide long non-coding RNA is filed under the name Salmo trutta (river trout). RNAcentral's name for it is "lncRNA (ENSSTUG00000037217.1)". The record is from RNAcentral. Lineage: Eukaryota; Metazoa; Chordata; Actinopteri; Salmoniformes; Salmonidae.
UAUGCCUAGGCUGGUUAUGUAUUACCCAGACAGGAUGUGACAUCACCGGGGUCCAAACUAAAAAAUGUCGCAGGACAGGCUGUCUAGGAUGUCCAGAACCCUGGAGGUUGCUGCCUCGCAGUGGGGUCCAGACGUGUGAUGUUCGCUGGAGGAUGCAGGAGAUAACCACGCAGAAUGUCUCUUUUCUCUACCUCCUGGUUUGAGUAUGACCCCUCCCCUGGCUUGUGACCCUUCACCUGGAUAACACUCCUGGCAGUUGGCUCUGGGACAGACUACUCAUGUUGAACCAUAGGUGCUGCACCAGAGCUGUGAUGAUGCUCCCCGAGGCCUCCUCUCUCACCCCAUGUUCUGACUCCCUGGGAUGUGUGGAGCUGUGAGGUCCACUGUCACCGCCCGUCACCACCCAUGGCCCUGGAAGAGAAGAGGUGACGGAGCAGUUUGUCUGUUGACCUUUCCCCUCUCAGUCAGAUCGGUCCUCAUCUCUGUUCCAUCCCCUUUGGCAACACCUGUCUCUCUGUGGCCUUCAUGUAUUUGCUCAUGGUCGUGCCUCAGUGUGUACAUGGUGUGUUACCUAUGUUUUCCUGGACAUUUAAGGUUCAAGUGGAAUCUUUGUUGGCUAUCCAAUAGCAUUCUGUUAUUUCGUAUUAUGGAAUUAUAAAGGGGGGGGGUUAAUCCAUGUGGAUCAUGGGUCAUAAAAGUUCACAUUAUACUAAUUUCCCCUGAUUAGAGUCUUGGUGGUCAUACAAUUAAUUUGAUUUUAUGGAAAUAAUUAAAUGAAGGAUCCAAGUGUGAAGUAGGCUACAGUAUUUGGAUAACUGAUUUGUGUGGGUGAAAUGGAGAUCACUGUUUUCACUGUGAAAUUAUAUGAGUUAGGGACAAAUGUUUUUGUAUUUUAUCAUUUUAUACAUAUUAACAUAUUACUGCCUUGCAGGGAAACUGAAAACUGCACUGGUGAUCAUUUUACCAAAGUCAGGCAUGAUUCUUAUGUUUUGGAUUUCUAGACUCGAUACAUAAGCAAAGUCUGCUGAAUUAUUUGACUUAGGCUACAGUGUGUCAGACAUAGGUUUAAAGUUCUUAAAAUGAUUGUUGUCAUAGAAGACGCCAGUAUUGCAUGUUGAAAGAACGAUAAAGAAUGUCUGAU